Molecule: long non-coding RNA, 216 nt
Filed under: Gossypium barbadense (sea-island cotton)
Lineage: Eukaryota; Viridiplantae; Streptophyta; Magnoliopsida; Malvales; Malvaceae
Description: long non-coding RNA (GBAR_LNC001542)
Source: RNAcentral
UGAUGUUCUAUUCCCCGAAUAGGUGGUAAGCCACUCGGAACUUCAUCGGGAAGUACAUCUUCGAAUUCCUGCAAGAAAUAGACAACAGAAGAAGGUAAAGUAGCAUCUAAUUCAUUAGUAUUCAAAUAUGAUUCCUUGUACAUAAGUACAAGUAUAGGCUGCCUCAACAUAAAGGAUUUUCGAAUGUCACUCCCUUUCGCAUAAACACUCAUUUUU